UACGUAGGGUGCAAGCGUUAAUCGGAAUUACUGGGCGUAAAGCGUGCGUAGGCGGCUAUGUAAGACAGAUGUGAAAUCCCCGGGCUUAACCUGGGAACUGCAUUUGUGACUGCAUUGCUAGAGUGUGGUAGAGGGAGAUGGAAUUCCGCAUGUAGCAGUGAAAUGCGUAGAUAUGCGGAGGAACACCAAUGGCGAAGGCAAUCUCCUGGACCUGCACUGACGCUCAUGCACGAAAGCGUGGGGAGCAAACAGG
RNAcentral lists this ribosomal RNA (253 nucleotides) under uncultured bacterium. Its description in RNAcentral is "partial 16S ribosomal RNA". It matches the Rfam family "Bacterial small subunit ribosomal RNA", at positions 524 to 776 of the family's 1533-position model. The record is from RNAcentral.